AGGGAAGGGAGGGAAGACUCACAGAUCUGGAGAGCUGGGUUUCAGAUGUUGAGUGGUCAGACUGCAGCCUUGGGUGUGUUUAGGAUAAGCAUAGGCUUGCAGGUAUAGGAAAAACUGUGCUAUGGUUUAAAUAUGGUUUGAGUGACCCCACCCACUAAGUUUCUUUGCUGGAAUCCUGGUGCCCUGUGAGGCAGAAUAAAGAAUAGUGGACCUUUAGGAACUGGAGGCUUAGUGGGAGGUGAUUCUGUCGGUGAAGGUGCUGCCCUUGAAGGGAUUGGUGCAGUUCUCACAAGACCCCACAAGAACAAGUUAUUGUAAAAAGAGCCAGCCUGACCCUCAGUUUCCCAGGAUUCCUGUCUUGUCAUGUGAUGUCUCCCACACAUUGUGACAUCACUCACCAUGAAGACGUCACCAGACCCAAACAAAUCGGAACACCCGAUCUUGGACUCUUCUCUUUAUAAGGUACCCAGCUCGGGAAUUUUUCUAUAGCAACAGAGACUAGACUUGAAAACUCACCACCAGAAAGGGAACGGGAAGGAACCAGCACCCCAAAUGUGAGGCUGUCUGUGCUGCCACAUGCACAGCGACAUGGCCCUGGACCCACCUCAGUCUCCAGAGGAAUCACACACACAGGCUGAGAUGGCCCACGCUGUGUAGCUCAAGCCCAGACCACGUACUUGGCUCAGGGUUCAGACGGGGAAACAGGCACCACGAGCACUGAGGAAUGGAUGACAGGUGUUUUACAAAUGAGACGGCACCAAAUUAGACACACAGAAGUCACUUCUGAU
This 788-nucleotide long non-coding RNA is filed under the name Fukomys damarensis (Damara mole-rat). RNAcentral's name for it is "lncRNA (ENSFDAG00000027612.1)". The record is from RNAcentral. Lineage: Eukaryota; Metazoa; Chordata; Mammalia; Rodentia; Bathyergidae.